AAACUACCUUGACUAGAGUUAGAUAGAGGCAAGCGGAAUUCCAUGUGUAGCGGUAAAAUGUGUAAAUAUAUGGAGGAACACCAGAAGCGUAGGCGGCUUGCUGGGUCUUGACUGACGCUGAGGCACGAAAGCGUGGGUAGCAAACAGGAUGGAUACACUGGUAGUCCACGCCGUAAACGAUGAGUACUAAGUGUCGGGAUAAAACUCGGUACUGAAGUUAACACAUUAAGUACUCCGCCUGAGUAGUACGUACGCAAGUUUGAAACUUAAAGGAAUUGACGGGACUCCGCACAAGCGGGGGAUCAUGUUGUUUAAUUCGAAGAUACACGAAAAAUCUUACCAGGUCUUGACAUGCUCUGCAAAGCUAUAGAAAUAUAGUGGAGGUUAUCAGGGACACAGGUGGUGCAUGGUUGUCGUCAGUUCGUGUCGUGAGAUGUUAGGUUAAGUCCUAAAACGAGCGCAACCCUCGUCGUUAGUUACCAGCACGUAAUGGUGGGCACUUUAACGAGACUGCCAAUUAAACAUUGGAGGAAGGUGAGGAUUACGUCAAAUCAUCAUGCCCCUGAUGAUCUAGGCUACAAACGUGAUACAAUGGCUGUCACAAAGGGUAGCUGAAGCGCGAGUUUUUAGCCAAUCUCAAAAAAGCAGUCUCAGUUCGGAUUGAAGUCUGUAACUCGACUUCAUGAAGUUGGAAUCGCUAGUAAUCGCGAAUCAGCAUGUCGCGGUGAAUACGUUCUCGGGGUUUGUACACACCGCCCGUCA
RNAcentral lists this ribosomal RNA (762 nucleotides) under Candidatus Phytoplasma fraxini. RNAcentral's name for it is "bacterial SSU rRNA". It matches the Rfam family "Bacterial small subunit ribosomal RNA", at positions 630 to 1399 of the family's 1533-position model. The record is from RNAcentral. Lineage: Bacteria; Bacillati; Mycoplasmatota; Mollicutes; Acholeplasmatales; Acholeplasmataceae.